RNAcentral lists this non-coding RNA (172 nucleotides) under Carnobacterium maltaromaticum. The record is from RNAcentral. Lineage: Bacteria; Bacillati; Bacillota; Bacilli; Lactobacillales; Carnobacteriaceae.
UUCAGUGUGAGUUAGAAUGUGAAGAGGUUUUUAAUUAGCUCUUCAGUCUGGCGAGCAGAAAUUAUAUAAGGCGAUGUUUAAGAAUAAAAUUGAAAAAUAAAUUAAAGUUCAAUAGCUAAAAGAACCAUUCAUUUGUGUAAGUGGAAUGCGGAAAUAGGAGAUGUAUUUGAAA